This 253-nucleotide ribosomal RNA is filed under the name uncultured bacterium. RNAcentral's name for it is "partial 16S ribosomal RNA". It matches the Rfam family "Bacterial small subunit ribosomal RNA", at positions 524 to 776 of the family's 1533-position model. The record is from RNAcentral.
UACGUAGGGCGCGAGCGUUAAUCGGAAUUACUGGGCGUAAAGCGUGCGCAGGCGGUUCGCCAAGUCAGGUGUGAAAUCCCCGGGCUUAACCUGGGAAUUGCGCUUGAAACUAGCGGGCUUGAGUGUGGCAGAGGGGGGUGGAAUUCCACGUGUAGCAGUGAAAUGCGUAGAGAUGUGGAGGAACACCGAUGGCGAAGGCAGCCCCCUGGGUCACCACUGACGCUCAUGCACGAAAGCGUGGGGAGCAAACAGG